UGCCCUAGUAACGGCGAGUGAAGCGGCAACAGCUCAAAUUUGAAAUCUGGCUCUUUUAGAGUCCGAGUUGUAAUUUGCAGAGGGCGCUUUGGCUUUGGCAGCGGUCCAAGUUCCUUGGAACAGGACGUCACAGAGGGUGAGAAUCCCGUACGUGGUCGCUGGCUAUUGCCGUGUAAAGCCCCUUCGACGAGUCGAGUUGUUUGGGAAUGCAGCUCUAAAUGGGAGGUACAUUUCUUCUAAAGCUAAAUAUUGGCCAGAGACCGAUAGCGCACAAGUAGAGUGAUCGAAAGAUGAAAAGCACUUUGGAAAGAGAGUCAAACAGCACGUGAAAUUGUUGAAAGGGAAGCGCUUGCAGCCAGACUUGCUUGCAGUUGCUCAUCCGGGCUUUUGCCCGGUGCACUCUUCUGUAGGCAGGCCAGCAUCAGUUUGGGCGGUAGGAUAAAGGUCUCUGUCACGUACCUCUCUUCGGGGAGGCCUUAUAGGGGAGGCGACAUACUACCAGCCUGGACUGAGGUCCGCGCAUCUGCUAGGAUGCUGGCGUAAUGGCUGUAAGCGGCCCGUCUUGAAACACGGACCAAGGAGUCUAACAUCUAUGCGAGUGUUUGGGUGUCAAGCCCGAGCGCGUAAUGAAAGUGAACGGAGGUAGGACCCCGCAAGGGUGCACUAUCGACCGAUCCUGAUGUCUUCGGAAGGAUUUGAGUAAGAGCAUGGCUGUUGGGAC
Molecule: ribosomal RNA, 721 nt
Filed under: Alternaria phragmospora
Lineage: Eukaryota; Fungi; Ascomycota; Dothideomycetes; Pleosporales; Pleosporaceae
Description: eukaryotic LSU rRNA
Rfam family: Eukaryotic large subunit ribosomal RNA
Source: RNAcentral